AAGAUAAAAGAAAAAGAAAGAAAAAAAGGAAGAAAAGAAAAAAAGAAACAAAUGAAAGAAGGGGAGAGAAAAUGAGGAUAUUUACCGGGAUGCAUGAUCGGGACGGCUAUCGGGAUGGGACAAGAUGGGACAGUGGAGCGUCCAGUUCCAUGGAGAUACUGUGACACCUUCGUCCCACAGGAUUUAAAACCUUAUUAAAGUAUAUAGAAAGGAACACACUUCCUACAUACUAUGUCAUUCUGGUCCUGGUUGAUGCAGUACCUUAGGUUUAUAUUGUGUUAACUCUCUGAGUUGAGAGAAAACUCAGAAAUUAGGCUCCAGUUGUUACCCAGGGAUGAGUUGACUCAGGUUGUUGCUAUGAAUGUUCAGAACAUUUCAUGCACCACUUUCAACACUUCUUAUAUGUGUUAGUUGUCAUAUUCACAUGCUUUCUCAAGAAGCUUAAAGGGAAGGAAUCAAAGAAUAUGAAUACAAACCAUAUCUGCUCACUCUUUCCUGCAUCUUCUUGCUGGUUUUAUUAUUAUUAUUAUUAUUUUGCUGGAAUCCCUGCUGCCAAGUGGGUCCAAUGAACACCAUGAUCUUAUGUUUUCCUUGUUCAAGAGGACGAUUCAUUCUCUCUCUCUCUCUC
Molecule: long non-coding RNA, 628 nt
Filed under: Elaeis guineensis (African oil palm)
Lineage: Eukaryota; Viridiplantae; Streptophyta; Magnoliopsida; Arecales; Arecaceae
Description: long non-coding RNA (EGUI_LNC072161)
Source: RNAcentral